RNAcentral lists this ribosomal RNA (180 nucleotides) under Myxococcus xanthus. Its description in RNAcentral is "partial 16S ribosomal RNA". It matches the Rfam family "Eukaryotic small subunit ribosomal RNA", at positions 1163 to 1342 of the family's 1831-position model. Lineage: Bacteria; Pseudomonadati; Myxococcota; Myxococcia; Myxococcales; Myxococcaceae. The record is from RNAcentral.
GGCACCACCAGGCGUGGAGCCUGCGGCUUAAUUUGACUCAACACGGGGAAACUCACCAGGUCCAGACACAAUAAGGAUUGACAGAUUGAGAGCUCUUUCUUGAUUUUGUGGGUGGUGGUGCAUGGCCGUUCUUAGUUGGUGGAGCGAUUUGUCUGGUUAAUUCCGUUAAUGAACGAGACC